Long non-coding RNA from Alligator mississippiensis (American alligator), 1319 nucleotides. RefSeq lists it as uncharacterized. NCBI's taxonomy places the organism in Eukaryota, Metazoa, Chordata, Crocodylia, Alligatoridae. The record is from RefSeq and is a predicted model, not a curated record. The transcript is spliced from 4 exons.
GGCUCUGAUUUGUUUGUGGUAAGAACAGAAAAUCUGCUGGGCUCUUUUGGACAAGUAGCCACCUAUAAAUGCAGGCAGUAGAACUGGAUGCCCCAAAUGGGCCCUCCCAGGCCUAUUUUCAAUGUAAUAGAGUUUUAUGGAUUUCCAUAUAAAGAACCAUUUCAAGUGGCAGUCGAGAUUGGGCAGCAAGUGCUGGAGAACACAGAGCAGAUGGAAGCUACACUAUGCUUUGCAAGGCAGUGAAGUUUGUGGCUGGUAGGAAUUGAUGGACUCUGGCAAGUCUCUGCCAACAUGGUUUCAGGACCCCCUGCUUCAUUCAGUACCCAAAACGGAUGGUGCUUUGGGCCUGAAUGAGGGAUAUGUAGAGGAGAAUAUUGUCCAUGGGACUUCAGCCUUAUUUGCUUCAGAAGUUGAAAGGUUCCAGGGCUGCCCCCAGGAAAUGCCACCUCUUACCUUCUUCUUGUUUUUGAUUAUGAAAAAAUAGAGCAAUUCUUCUGUUGCAAAGAACUCAGAAAGCUCACAAGAGGCUAGAAUGUUUUUGAUGCUAUGGAUUCCCAUUUGAAAUCUUUGGGUUUAUCUCUUGAGCGGUGCAGAUACAUAUCACAGGCAAGUGUAACUCUGGCAUUUCCUAAUUCUGAGUGCUUGACCUAGCAACCACAAUAUUUAAUGUAAUUUUUGUAUAUAUCAAACAAGGGUGUGUGCCCUUAGUCUAUCAAAUGUAGAUGGUUAUCUCUAUUGCUAAUUAUGCAAAUACUGGAGUAUUAUGUAAUCAAGUAAUCAAAUAAGUUGAAAGCUUAAGCAUUGGUGAUUCUGUUGUUUAACAUCUCAACAAAUAUACUCAGUUGAUGGAGAACAUUGCCUGAAGUUAUUUUCUGUAAACCAUUUAAUGUAUAAAUAUUACUGGAUUUUUAAAAAUUCAUUUCUAUGUAUUGGCUUUACAAAUUAUCACCUUUAAAAAAAGUCUCAACUAUAAGGAGGUUUUCAACACCUUUUUCCUAAAUACAGCCAUAACCUUAGAGUGCUGCAGAAUUUAUCUAUAGGGUUGCAACUAAAGAAAACCUAUACUUCCUUCAAUCCUCUCUCACUAGGCCAGUGCCUUUAUUUAAGAGUGCUCAAAUACUAUCUAAAAUACUUAAUUUGAGAUCUGGCUUUAGCAUCAAUAGCUAAAUACUUUCAGUAUUCCAUAUUUUCCUUAUUAAAUUGAAACUAUCCUUUGUGCCUGAGCCAGCUUUACUUAAAUUGUUGACAGCAGUCUGGGACAUUGAUCUGGGAUUGUUACUCUCUGCUGUGGCCUAUUCUAAUGCACUUUGAGUAUUCUA